GGCACUUUGGCGGAGUGGUUAACGCGCUGCCCUGCUAUACUCUGUUAUUACGAGUCUUGUUAGGCAGUUCCUUCGGGAGCGAGUGUUCGAAUCACUCAGGUGUCG
Non-coding RNA from Neopestalotiopsis sp. 37M, 105 nucleotides. The record is from the annotation of a GenBank genome assembly. Lineage: Eukaryota; Fungi; Ascomycota; Sordariomycetes; Amphisphaeriales; Sporocadaceae.